GUGCUUGCUUCGGCAGCACAUAUACUAAAACUGGAACAAUACAGAGAAGAUUAGCAUGGCCCCUGUGCAAGGACGACACGCAAAUUUGUGAAGCAUUCCAUAUUUUU
This 107-nucleotide small nuclear RNA is filed under the name Octodon degus (degu). Lineage: Eukaryota; Metazoa; Chordata; Mammalia; Rodentia; Octodontidae. The record is from RNAcentral.